GACGAACGCUGGCGGCGUGGAUUAGGCAUGCAAGUCGAACGGUAUCAUCCUUUCGGGGGUGAGAGAGUGGCGAACUGGUGAGUAACACGUAGGUUAUCUACCCUCAAGACGGGGACAACCCAGGGAAACUUGGGCUAAUACCGGAUGUGAGCAACUUUUAGUUGUUUGAAAGGUGGCGUAAGCUGUCGCUUGGGGAUGAGCCUGCGUCCUAUUAGUUAGUUGGUGAGGUAACGGCUCACCUAGGCAAUGAUAGGUAGGCGGCCUUAACGGGUGGUCGCCCACACUGGGAUUGAGAUACGGCCUAGACUCCUACGGGAGGCAGCAGUCGAGAAUAGUCUACAAUGGUCGGAAGACUGAUAGUGCGACGCCGCGUGAACGAUGAAUCCCUUCGGGGUGUAAAGUUCUUUUAUAUGUGAGCAGUGCUUCUUAUAUUAACAGUAUGGGGAGAGAGAUAUUAGCAUAUGAAUAAGCAACGGCUAACUCCGUGCCAGCAGCCGCGGU
Molecule: ribosomal RNA, 501 nt
Filed under: uncultured bacterium
Lineage: Bacteria
Description: bacterial SSU rRNA
Rfam family: Bacterial small subunit ribosomal RNA
Source: RNAcentral